RNAcentral lists this ribosomal RNA (253 nucleotides) under uncultured bacterium. RNAcentral describes it as "partial 16S ribosomal RNA". It matches the Rfam family "Bacterial small subunit ribosomal RNA", at positions 524 to 776 of the family's 1533-position model. The record is from RNAcentral.
UACGGGGGGAGCAAGCGUUGUUCGGAUUUACUGGGCGUAAAGGGCGCGUAGGCGGCGUGGUAAGUCAAUUGUGAAAUCUCCGAGCUUAACUCGGAACGGUCAAUUGAUACUGCUGUGCUAGAGUACAGAAGGGGCAAUCGGAAUUCUUGGUGUAGCGGUGAAAUGCGUAGAUAUCAAGAGGAACACCUGAGGUGAAGACGGGUUGCUGGGCUGAUACUGACGCUGAGGCGCGAAAGCGUGGGGAGCGAACAGG